CUGGAUGCUUGAGAUCGAAACCAUAAUUUUUAGUAUUAUACAUUAUAAAGCUUGGCUUGGCACAUCUCAACGGGCCACGGGCCUCUCCUAGCCUAUCCCUCCAAAGAGGAGAAAAAGCUAAUAUGCCGUAAGAUCGACAUGUCUAUCAUAGACCAACUUGUGGCAUGGCAAGAGGUUAAUUUCAACGAGAGACUAAUUGUCAGGC
This 205-nucleotide long non-coding RNA is filed under the name Elaeis guineensis (African oil palm). RNAcentral describes it as "long non-coding RNA (EGUI_LNC032096)". The record is from RNAcentral. Lineage: Eukaryota; Viridiplantae; Streptophyta; Magnoliopsida; Arecales; Arecaceae.